This is a non-coding RNA of Glycine soja, 123 nucleotides long. The record is from Rfam. NCBI's taxonomy places the organism in Eukaryota, Viridiplantae, Streptophyta, Magnoliopsida, Fabales, Fabaceae.
UUUUGGUUGGAUGAUGAUGAUCACCACGUGACAAGUUCUGACUGAAUGUUAACUCUAUAAAUGAUGAAAAUGUAUUGUUAUUAUUCACGUCCAAUCAAAAUAUGAUACUAACAGUUAUCCAUU